RNAcentral lists this unclassified non-coding RNA (348 nucleotides) under soil metagenome. RNAcentral describes it as "partial contains 5.8S ribosomal RNA, internal transcribed spacer 2, and large subunit ribosomal RNA". The stretch from base 1 to 120 matches the Rfam family "5.8S ribosomal RNA", at positions 35 to 154 of the family's 154-position model. The record is from RNAcentral.
GAUGAAGAACGUAGCGAAAUGCGAUAAGUAAUGUGAAUUGCAGAAUUCAGUGAAUCAUCGAGUCUUUGAACGCACAUUGCGCCCCCUGGUAUUCCGGGGGGCAUGCCUGUCCGAGCGUCAUUGCUGCCCUCAAGCACGGCUUGUGUGUUGGGCCCCCGUCCCCGGUUUCCCCCGGGGACGGGCCCGAAAGGCAGCGGCGGCACCGCGUCCGGUCCUCGAGCGUAUGGGGCUUUGCCACCCGCUCUGUAGGCCCGGCCGGCGCCAGCCGACACCCAACUUUAUUUCUAAGGUUGACCUCGGAUCAGGUAGGGAUACCCGCUGAACUUAAGCAUAUCAAUAAGCGGAGGA